UCGAGAAUCUUCCGCAAUGGGCGAAAGCCUGACGGAGCGACGCCGCGUGUAGGAUGAAGGCCCUCGGGUUGUAAACUACUGUCACGGGUUAUGAAUGUGCAUAUGUUAACAGCGUGUGUAUUGACGUAAGCCCGAAAGGAAGCACCGGCUAACUCUGUGCCAGCAGCCGCGGUAAUACAGAGGGUGCAAACGUUGUUCGGAAUUACUGGGCAUAAAGCGCGCGUAGGCGGCGACGUAAGUGUAGGGUGAAAUCCCACGGCUCACCCGUGUGAAUUGCCCCGCAUACUGCGUUGCUCGAGUGUGGUAGGGGAGAGCGGAACUCCUGGUGGAGCGGUGAAAUGCGUAGAUAUCAGGAGGAACACCGGUGGCGUAGGCGGCUCUCUGGUCCAUAACUGACGCUGAAGUGCGAAAGCUAGGGUAGCGAACGGGAUUACAUACCCACGUAGUCCCUGAGCGGGCUGGCAAGGCGCAU
RNAcentral lists this ribosomal RNA (472 nucleotides) under uncultured bacterium. Its description in RNAcentral is "bacterial SSU rRNA". It matches the Rfam family "Bacterial small subunit ribosomal RNA", at positions 355 to 825 of the family's 1533-position model. The record is from RNAcentral.